AACGAACGCUGGCGGCAUGCCUAGCACAUGCAAGUCGAACGAGACCUUCGGGUCUAGUGGCGCACGGGUGCGUAACGCGUGGGAAUCUGCCCUUGGGUUCGGAAUAACAGUUGGAAACGACUGCUAAUACCGGAUGAUGACGUAAGUCCAAAGAUUUAUCGCCCAGGGAUGAGCCCGCGUAGGAUUAGCUAGUUGGUGGGGUAAAGGCCUACCAAGGCGACGAUCCUUAGCUGGUCUGAGAGGAUGAUCAGCCACACUGGGACUGAGACACGGCCCAGACUCCUACGGGAGGCAGCAGUGGGGAAUAUUGGACAAUGGGCGAAAGCCUGAUCCAGCAAUGCCGCGUGAGUGAUGAAGGCCUUAGGGUUGUAAAGCUCUUUUACCCGGGAUGAUAAUGACAGUACCGGGAGAAUAAGCCCCGGCUAACUCCGUG
This 433-nucleotide ribosomal RNA is filed under the name uncultured bacterium. Its description in RNAcentral is "partial 16S ribosomal RNA". It matches the Rfam family "Bacterial small subunit ribosomal RNA", at positions 29 to 507 of the family's 1533-position model. The record is from RNAcentral.